CCUGCGCGGAAGAUGUAACGGGGCUAAACCAUGCACCGAAGCUGCGGCAGCGACACUAUGUGUUGUUGGGUAGGGGAGCGUUCUGUAAGCCUGUGAAGGUGUGCUGUGAGGCAUGCUGGAGGUAUCAGAAGUGCGAAUGCUGACAUAAGUAACGAUAAAGCGGGUGAAAAGCCCGCUCGCCGGAAGACCAAGGGUUCCUGUCCAACGUUAAUCGGGGCAGGGUGAGUCGACCCCUAAGGCGAGGCCGAAAGGCGUAGUCGAUGGGAAACAGGUUAAUAUUCCUGUACUUGGUGUUACUGCGAAGGGGGGACGGAGAAGGCUAUGUUGACCGGGCGACGGUUGUCCCGGUUUAAGCGUGUAGGCUGGUUUUCCAGGCAAAUCCGGAAAAUCAAGGCUGAGGCGUGAUGACGAGGCACUACGGUGCUGAAGCAACAAAUGC
This 439-nucleotide ribosomal RNA is filed under the name Escherichia coli. RNAcentral describes it as "partial 23S ribosomal RNA". It matches the Rfam family "Bacterial large subunit ribosomal RNA", at positions 1158 to 1600 of the family's 2925-position model. Lineage: Bacteria; Pseudomonadati; Pseudomonadota; Gammaproteobacteria; Enterobacterales; Enterobacteriaceae. The record is from RNAcentral.